This is a long non-coding RNA of Heterocephalus glaber (naked mole-rat), 1103 nucleotides long. RefSeq lists it as uncharacterized. NCBI's taxonomy places the organism in Eukaryota, Metazoa, Chordata, Mammalia, Rodentia, Bathyergidae. The record is from RefSeq and is a predicted model, not a curated record.
CCGUGCGCGCCGCAGCCCCUCGCAGGCCGUGGCGGUUUGUGGGUGGGCUGUGCAGUCCUGGCGCUCUGAACGACCCGGAUGGCCCGCGCAGGCUGGCGCAGUGCCAGUGCGGUGGGUGUGGAGCCAAGGGAAGGCAUUGCCUCCUACUGCGGGAGGCCCGGGAGUCAAUUCUGCCGCCCACCUCGCGAAGACCGAGCCCUAAACUGCAAGUCGGUUCCCAGGGAAGCAGAGAAUGUACCCGGCACUGUGGUAGACAGCGGAGGAGGCACAGAUGGAAGGAUGGGGUGCCUGUCUGGCAGAGACCUUGAGGGUUUCCCUGCCCAGCUCCUGGGGAUGGAACCCAGGCCUCCUGCACACGGGGCAACUUCUCUACCCCAGGCCACACCUCCAGUAAACAUGCAGGGUGAAGUACACAUGCUUCCAGGGACAGCCAGGGUCUCCAGGUCCACCUGUAAACCACGGCGACACAGCAGGAGAUGACAGUAAUCCAGAGCUGAACACCAAUGGGAUGGUAUUAGAAAGUGGCCUUUGGAAGGUAUGGCCCCAUGGUCUUGAGGUCACAGAAAACUGAGACCAGAGUAUCUUCUUCAACCUUCCUCUCACCAGCAUCAUCAAUCAGGAUGUGAAUGGCCCAGAACUUCAUAUAGGCACAGCUCACAAAACUAGCUUUCCGGAUUGGGAAUAGAUUCUGGGACUGCGACACUCAGUUUGGAAUAUUGAGCUGCUUUCCUCGUGUUCAUCUGAGGUUCUUCAUGAACAACUAAAGGAGGAAUGAAAGGUCAAUCAAUCAGUCCAACCUCAGCAAGCUGGGUCCUCCCACCUGAAGAUCUAUAACUGUGCCAUUGAAAGAUGGGUUUGGGUGACUGUUAAUGUGUGCAGAACCACGGGGAAUCUUAAUUGUUUAUUUGAUUAGAUUUUUACGUUCAGCUCCACAUCAGCAAAUGCAGGCUCUCAUACACUUAAUUACAGCUCACCACAGAAACCUGCCUCUGAAGCUGCUGAUACAGAAAUUAAUCUAAAGACAGAAGACAGAGCAUAAAUAAAGAAAAUAAACAGACCCAUGGUUUUCACAUUGGUUUUCUCCUUGCUUGUUUACUUGUUGU